Molecule: ribosomal RNA, 614 nt
Filed under: Lactococcus lactis subsp. lactis
Lineage: Bacteria; Bacillati; Bacillota; Bacilli; Lactobacillales; Streptococcaceae
Description: bacterial SSU rRNA
Rfam family: Bacterial small subunit ribosomal RNA
Source: RNAcentral
UCAAAGAUGAUCCCGCGUUGUAUUAGCUAGUUGGUGAGGUAAAGGCUCACCAAGGCGAUGAUACAUAGCCGACCUGAGAGGGUGAUCGGCCACAUUGGGACUGAGACACGGCCCAAACUCCUACGGGAGGCAGCAGUAGGGAAUCUUCGGCAAUGGACGAAAGUCUGACCGAGCAACGCCGCGUGAGUGAAGAAGGUUUUCGGAUCGUAAAACUCUGUUGGUAGAGAAGAACGUUGGUGAGAGUGGAAAGCUCAUCAAGUGACGGUAACUACCCAGAAAGGGACGGCUAACUACGUGCCAGCAGCCGCGGUAAUACGUAGGUCCCGAGCGUUGUCCGGAUUUAUUGGGCGUAAAGCGAGCGCAGGUGGUUUAUUAAGUCUGGUGUAAAAGGCAGUGGCUCAACCAUUGUAUGCAUUGGAAACUGGUAGACUUGAGUGCAGGAGAGGAGAGUGGAAUUCCAUGUGUAGCGGUGAAAUGCGUAGAUAUAUGGAGGAACACCGGUGGCGAAAGCGGCUCUCUGGCCUGUAACUGACACUGAGGCUCGAAAGCGUGGGGAGCAAACAGGAUUAGAUACCCUGGUAGUCCACGCCGUAAACGAUGAGUGCUAGAUGUAG